Molecule: long non-coding RNA, 309 nt
Filed under: Homo sapiens (human)
Lineage: Eukaryota; Metazoa; Chordata; Mammalia; Primates; Hominidae
Description: HSALNT0059889
Source: RNAcentral
GUCAUCACUGAUCUUCAUAGUCUGAAGGUGCAUGAAAUGGUCAACUCCCAUCCCACAAGUCUCAGCUAAAACAGCAAUUCAACGAGGAACUUUUUUCUGAGGCUCCAGGAUUGGGCCAGGCCCUCUCCAUUGCUCUCUGCCCUUCCCCUACUGCAGAACUUAGCACCUGUAUGUCACUAUUGGUUCAAACAUGUGUCUUUCGUAUGCUCUCCACGUUAUCUGCAGCAUCUGCCAAGAAUAAUAAUGGAUGGUAAAACCUAAUCUCUAUUGAGUGUCGAUGAUGCACUUUUAACGUGACAUCUUAUUUAA